RNAcentral lists this transfer RNA (72 nucleotides) under Thermoflexales bacterium. Its description in RNAcentral is "tRNA-Met". It matches the Rfam family "tRNA". Rfam says of the family: Transfer RNA (tRNA) molecules are approximately 80 nucleotides in length. The record is from RNAcentral. Lineage: Bacteria; Bacillati; Chloroflexota; Thermoflexia; Thermoflexales. RNAcentral also lists the same sequence under 1 other name.
UGCGGGAUAGAGCAGUGGCAGCUCGUCGGGCUCAUAACCCGGAGGUCGUAGGUUCGAAUCCUACUCCCGCUA